Molecule: small RNA, 652 nt
Filed under: Pan troglodytes (chimpanzee)
Lineage: Eukaryota; Metazoa; Chordata; Mammalia; Primates; Hominidae
Description: processed transcript
Source: RNAcentral
AUGCCAGCAGACAGCUUUUGCUGCUGUGAAGGGACAUCACCUUUUCGCUUUUUCCAAGAUGGCUCAAGAUUCAGUAGAUCUUUCUUGUGAUUAUCAGUUUUGGAUGCAGAAGCUUUCUGUAUGGGAUCAGGCUUCCACUUUGGAAACCCAGCAAGACACCUGUCUUCACCUGGCUCAGUUCCAGGAGUUCCUAAGAAAGAUGUAUGAAGCCUUGAAAGAGAUGGAUUCUAAUACAGUCAUUGAAAGAUUCCCCACAAUUGGUCAACUGUUGGCAAAAGCUUGUUGGAAUCCUUUUAUUUUAGCAUAUGAUGAAAGCCAAAAAAUUCUAAUAUGGUGCUUAUGUUGUCUAAUUAACAAAGAACCACAGAAUUCUGGACAAUCAAAACUUAACUCCUGGAUACAGGGUGUAUUAUCUCAUAUACUUUCAGCACUCAGAUUUGAUAAAGAAGUUGCUCUUUUCACUCAAGGUCUUGGGUAUGCACCUAUAGAUUACUAUCCUGGUUUGCUUAAAAAUAUGGUUUUAUCAUUAGCGUCUGAACUCAGAGAGAAUCAUCUUAAUGGAUUUAACACUCAAAGGCGAAUGGCUCCCGAGCGAGUGGCGUCCCUGUCACGAGUUUGUGUCCCACUUAUUACCCUGACAGAUGUUGACCCC